GGGCUACGUCAUUACGGCGCGUCGCGCGGGAAGCCACGGGGAGGUGAGAAAGGGCCCCUUCCUAACGCCCUUGUUUGCUUGCUUCCACUCUUGAGUCAUCGCACGGUAAGGUGGCGCGGGUCUGGAGGGGCCCUAAGGUAAAUGGACAGGGAAUAAGGGACGGCGGCCAUGGCCGAUAGGACGCAGCUGUGGUGGUUGGGAGAGAGGGUCGGGCUUGAGCCCGGGCGCUUGGUCGCGCCUCCGGCACGCGCCUCACGCAGGGCGCAGUACGGCCAGCGUCGCGCGCAGAGAAGAGGGAGUAGCCGUUAGAGAAUCCACGGGAGGUGUGGCCCGCACUACGGGCGCGGCGGCGCGGCACGGUCCCUUGUGUGGGCGGAACUCGGGGCGGUCUAUAGAGGAGACUCGCCCAAUGUAAAAGGGGGGAUCACGCACCUGCGGUCGUCAGGAAUUUGGAGGCUCCAGACAAGGGCGGAGUUUGAGAAAGGGGUGCACCCGGUGAGUGGCGCGGAGGGAUUGGUCCGUGCCAAUGGCGGGUGAGAAGGAGGGGGGGCCAGCCGAAGGCGGCUCGAGCUGGCUGAAGGGGCUUGGUGAGCGCUAGGGGUUGGACUUGGGUAGGGGGUGGGGCCUGUUGGAGGAAAGAGGCAGUCCCCUGAGGAGCCGGGCUUGUCGAAACGUUAGGGUCAGGAUCUAGCCAAGUGGAAGGACCGCGUCAGGGGUGAAGUCUCCCCAGCCAUGACCUCCACCGGUCAGGAUUCCACCACACCCAAGGAGCGAAGGAGUAGGCACAAUCCCCACUCUCCCCACCCACGACUCCAGCAUCACCUCGAAGCGAGGUGUUAAAAAGAGUGCCAUACUCCGCUCCAGCCCCAGUCUAGCGGAGGUAAAGAAGAAAGGCAGAAUGAAGAAGCUUAGCCAAACAGCCGAGCAAGACCUAAUCAUGGGGCUACAAGGGCUGAAUCUGAACCUGGAGUCCAGGACACUGUCUGGCACUGGCUUGGUGUUCGAUGAACAGCUAAUGAAUUCCACUGCCUCUGGGAUGACAGGUGAGGCUGGCUUCUCCAGGCCAUACCCAAACCAUACAAAUAUAUGCACUAGAGCCCAUUAGCCAUUAGAAG
Molecule: long non-coding RNA, 1115 nt
Filed under: Bos indicus x Bos taurus (hybrid cattle)
Lineage: Eukaryota; Metazoa; Chordata; Mammalia; Artiodactyla; Bovidae
Description: lncRNA (ENSBIXG00000029830.1)
Source: RNAcentral